Molecule: ribosomal RNA, 835 nt
Filed under: Osornophryne guacamayo (Guacamayo plump toad)
Lineage: Eukaryota; Metazoa; Chordata; Amphibia; Anura; Bufonidae
Description: partial 16S ribosomal RNA
Rfam family: Bacterial large subunit ribosomal RNA
Source: RNAcentral
AAACUCCUCACUCCGUACUAAGCAAUACUAUCCCUCUAUAGAAAAUUUUAUGUUAAAAUUAGUAACAAGAAGACAGACCUUCUCUUAAAUGUAAACGUAAAUCAUAAGGACAAACCACUGAUAUUUAACGCUCAAGAACCAGAAGUAAUAACCAACCAAGAAAACUUUACUUUAAUUAACGUUAACCUAACACAAGAGCAUUUCAAGAAAGAUUAAAAGAAAAAGAAGGAACUCGGCAAACUUUAACCUCGCCUGUUUACCAAAAACAUCACCUCUUGAUAAUAAUGAGAGGCCCAGCCUGCCCAGUGACCCAGUUCAACGGCCGCGGUAUCCUAACCGUGCGAAGGUAGCGUAAUCACUUGUUCUUUAAAUAAGGACUAGUAUGAACGGCAUCACGAGGGUUAUGCUGUCUCCUUUUUCCAAACAGUGAAACUAAUUUCCCCGUGAAGAAGCAGGGAUAAAAUUAUAAGACGAGAAGACCCUAUGGAGCUUCAAACAACACAACAAAUGCCAAACAACUUAAAAAUUUCAUAACUCCAAAUUUACUCAGCAUUAUGAUUGUUAGUUUUAGGUUGGGGUGACCGCGGAGCAAAACACAACCUCCACAUUGAAAGAAUUUUAUUCUAAGCCAAGAACCACAACUCAAAGCAUCUAUAUAUUGACAUUAAUUGACCCAAUAAACUUGAACAACGAACCAAGUUACCCUAGGGAUAACAGCGCAAUCUACUUCAAGAGCCCCUAUCGACAAGUAGGUUUACGACCUCGAUGUUGGAUCAGGGUCUCCAAGUGGUGCAGCCGCUACUAAAGGUUCGUUUGUUCAACGAUUAAUACCCUA